RNAcentral lists this ribosomal RNA (1343 nucleotides) under uncultured bacterium. Its description in RNAcentral is "bacterial SSU rRNA". It matches the Rfam family "Bacterial small subunit ribosomal RNA", at positions 28 to 1381 of the family's 1533-position model. The record is from RNAcentral.
GAUGAACGCUGGCGGCGUGCUUAACACAUGCAAGUCGAACGAUGAAGCCCAGCUUGCUGGGUGGAUUAGUGGCGAACGGGUGAGUAACACGUGAGUAACCUGCCCUUAACUCUGGGAUAAGCCUGGGAAACUGGGUCUAAUACCGGAUAGGAGCGUCCACCGCAUGGUGGGUGUUGGAAAGAUUUAUCGGUUUUGGAUGGACUCGCGGCCUAUCAGCUUGUUGGUGAGGUAAUGGCUCACCAAGGCGACGACGGGCAGCCGGCCUGAGAGGGUGACCGGCCACACUGGGACUGAGACACGGCCCAGACUCCUACGGGAGGCAGCAGUGGGGAAUAUUGCACAAUGGGCGCAAGCCUGAUGCAGCGACGCCGCGUGAGGGAUGACGGCAUUCGGGUUGUAAACCUCUUUCAGUAGGGAAGAAGCGAAAGUGACGGUACCUGCAGAAGAAGCACCGGCUAACUACGUGCCAGCAGCCGCGGUAAUACGUAGGGUGCGAGCGUUAUCCGGAAUUAUUGGGCGUAAAGAGCUCGUAGGCGGUUUGUCGCGUCUGUCGUGAAAGUCCGGGGCUUAACCCCGGAUCUGCGGUGGGUACGGGCAGACUAGAGUGCAGUAGGGGAGACUGGAAUUCCUGGUGUAGCGGUGGAAUGCGCAGAUAUCAGGAGGAACACCGAUGGCGAAGGCAGGUCUCUGGGCUGUAACUGACGCUGAGGAGCGAAAGCAUGGGGAGCGAACAGGAUUAGAUACCCUGGUAGUCCAUGCCGUAAACGUUGGGCACUAGGUGUGGGGACCAUUCCACGGUUUCCGCGCCGCAGCUAACGCAUUAAGUGCCCCGCCUGGGGAGUACGGCCGCAAGGCUAAAACUCAAAGGAAUUGACGGGGGCCCGCACAAGCGGCGGAGCAUGCGGAUUAAUUCGAUGCAACGCGAAGAACCUUACCAAGGCUUGACAUGUUCUCGAUCGCCGUAGAGAUACGGUUUCCCCUUUGGGGCGGGUUCACAGGUGGUGCAUGGUCGUCGUCAGCUCGUGUCGUGAGAUGUUGGGUUAAGUCCCGCAACGAGCGCAACCCUCGUUCCAUGUUGCCAGCACGUAAUGGUGGGGACUCAUGCGACACUGCCGGGGUCACUCGGAGGAAGGUGUGGACGACGUCAAAUCAUCAUGCCCUUUAUGUAUUGGGUUUCACGCAUGCUACAAUGGCCGGUACCAUGGGUUGCGAUACUGUGAGCUGGCGUUAAUCCCAAAAAGCCGGUCUCAGUUCGGAUUGGGGUCCGCAACUCGACCCCACGAAGUCGGAGUCGUCUAGUAAUCGCAGAUCAGCAACGAUGCGGAGAAUACGUUCCCGGUCCU